UACGUAGGUGGCAAGCGUUGUCCGGAAUUAUUGGGCGUAAAGCGCGCGCAGGUGGUUCUUUAAGUCUGAUGUGAAAGCCCCCGGCUCAACCGGGGAGGGUCAUUGGAAACUGGGGAACUUGAGUGCAGAAGAGGAUAGUGGAAUUCCAAGUGUGGCGGUGAAAUGCGUAGAGAUUUGGAGGAACACCAGUGGCGAAGGCGACUGUCUGGUCUGUAACUGACACUGAGGCGCGAAAGCGUGGGGAGCAAACAGG
RNAcentral lists this ribosomal RNA (253 nucleotides) under uncultured bacterium. RNAcentral describes it as "partial 16S ribosomal RNA". It matches the Rfam family "Bacterial small subunit ribosomal RNA", at positions 524 to 776 of the family's 1533-position model. The record is from RNAcentral.